GGGGGUGCCUAUUACAUGCAGUCGAACGCUUCUUUUUCCACCGGAGCUUGCUCCACCGGAAAAAGAGGAGUGGCGAACGGGUGAGUAACACGUGGGUAACCUGCCCAUCAGAAGGGGAUAACACUUGGAAACAGGUGCUAAUACCGUAUAACAAUCAAAACCGCAUGGUUUUGAUUUGAAAGGCGCUUUCGGGUGUCGCUGAUGGAUGGACCCGCGGUGCAUUAGCUAGUUGGUGAGGUAACGGCUCACCAAGGCCACGAUGCAUAGCCGACCUGAGAGGGUGAUCGGCCACAUUGGGACUGAGACACGGCCCAAACUCCUACGGGAGGCAGCAGUAGGGAAUCUUCGGCAAUGGACGAAAGUCUGACCGAGCAACGCCGCGUGAGUGAAGAAGGUUUUCGGAUCGUAAAACUCUGUUGUUAGAGAAGAACAAGGAUGAGAGUAACUGUUCAUCCCUUGACGGUAUCUAACCAGAAAGCCACGGCUAACUACGUGCCAGCAGCCGCGGUAAUACGUAGGUGGCAAGCGUUGUCCGGAUUUAUUGGGCGUAAAGCGAGCGCAGGCGGUUUCUUAAGUCUGAUGUGAAAGCCCCCGGCUCAACCGGGGAGGGUCAUUGGAAACUGGGAGACUUGAGUGCAGAAGAGGAGAGUGGAAUUCCAUGUGUAGCGGUGAAAUGCGUAGAUAUAUGGAGGAACACCAGUGGUGAAGGCGGCUCUCUGGUCUGUAACUGACGCUGAGGCUCGAAAGCGUGGGGAGCAAACAGGAUUAGAUACCCUGGUAGUCCACGCCGUAAACGAUGAGUGCUAAGUGUUGGAGGGUUUCCGCCCUUCAGUGCUGCAGCUAACGCAUUAAGCACUCCGCCUGGGGAGUACGACCGCAAGGUUGAAACUCAAGGAAUUGACGGGGCCCGCACAAGCGGUGGAGCAUGUGGUUUAAUUCGAAGCAACGCGAGAACCUUACCAGUCUUGACAUCCUUUGACCACUCUAGAGAUAGAGCUUCCCCUUCGGGGGCAAGUGACAGGUGGUGCAUGAUGUCGUCAGCUCGUGUCGUGAGAUGUUGGGUUAAGUCCCGCACGAGCGCCAACCCUUAUUGUUAGUUGCCAUCAUUC
This 1109-nucleotide ribosomal RNA is filed under the name uncultured bacterium. RNAcentral's name for it is "bacterial SSU rRNA". It matches the Rfam family "Bacterial small subunit ribosomal RNA", at positions 40 to 1126 of the family's 1533-position model. The record is from RNAcentral.